AGAGUUUGAUCCUGGCUCAGGAUGAACGCUGGCGGCGUGCCUAAUACAUGCAAGUCGAGCGAACAGACGAGGAGCUUGCUCCUCUGACGUUAGCGGCGGACGGGUGAGUAACACGUGGAUAACCUACCUAUAAGGCUGGGAUAACUUCGGGAAACCGGGGCUAAUACCGGAUAAUAUAUUGAACCGCAUGGUUCAAUAGUGAAAGACGGUUUUGCUGUCACUUAUAGAUGGAUCCGCGCCGCAUUAGCUAGUUGGUAAGGUAACGGCUUACCAAGGCAACGAUGCGUAGCCGACCUGAGAGGGUGAUCGGCCACACUGGAACUGAAACACGGUCCAGACUCCUACGGGAGGCAGCAGUAGGGAAUCUUCCGCAAUGGGCGAAAGCCUGACGGAGCAACGCCGCGUGAGUGAUGAAGGUCUUCGGAUCGUAAAACUCUGUUAUUAGGGAAGAACAAAUGUGUAAGUAACUAUGCACGUCUUGACGGUACCUAAUCAGAAAAGCCACGGCUAACUACGUGCCAGCAGCCGCGGUAAUACGUAGGUGGCAGGCGUUAUCCGGAAUUAUUGGGCGUAAAGCGCGCGUAGGCGGUUUUUUAAGUCUGAUGUGAAAGCCCACGGCUCAACCGUGGAGGGUCAUUGAAACUGGAAAACUUGAGUGCAGAAGAGGAAAGUGGAAUUCCAUGUGUAGCGGUGAAAUGCGCAGAGAUAUGGAGGAACACCAGUGGGCGAAUGCGACUUUCUGGUCUGUAACUGACGCUGAUGUGCGAAAGCGUGGGGAACAAACAGGAUUAGAUACUCUGUAGUCCACGCCGUAAACAAUGAAUGCUAAGUGGUUAGGGGUUUCCGCCCCUUAGUGCUGCAGCUAACGCAUAAGCACUCCGCCUGGGGAGUACGACCGCAAGGUUGAACUUCGAAGGAUUUGA
RNAcentral lists this ribosomal RNA (923 nucleotides) under uncultured bacterium. RNAcentral describes it as "bacterial SSU rRNA". It matches the Rfam family "Bacterial small subunit ribosomal RNA", at positions 8 to 913 of the family's 1533-position model. The record is from RNAcentral.